GAUGAAGAACGCAGCGAAAUGCGAUACGUAAUGUGAAUUGCAGAAUUCAGUGAAUCAUCGAAUCUUUGAACGCAUAUUGCGCUCUCUGGUAUUCCGGAGAGCAUGCUUGUUUGAGUAUCAGUAAACACCUCAACUUCCAUAUCUUUUUUGAAAUGGGAGUUGGACUUGAGUGAUCCCAACGCUUUUCCUCACCGAAAAGUGGCGGGUUACUUGAAAUGCAGGUGCAGCUGGACUUUUCUCUGAGCUAUAAGCAUAUCUAUUUAGUCUGCCUAAAAAACAGAUUAUUACCUUUGCUGCAGCUAACAUAAAGGAGAUUAGUUCUUGUGCUGACUGAUGCAGGAUUCACAAAGACAGGCUUCGGCCGACUUUGUAAACUCGAUCUCAAAUCAAGUAAGACUACCCGCUGAACUUAAGCAUAUCAAUAGGCGGAGGA
Molecule: unclassified non-coding RNA, 433 nt
Filed under: soil metagenome
Description: partial contains 5.8S ribosomal RNA, internal transcribed spacer 2, and large subunit ribosomal RNA
Rfam family: 5.8S ribosomal RNA (bases 1-120)
Source: RNAcentral